AGUGUGUCAGAAUCCUUUUUGUGUGUGUGUGUGUGUGUGUGUGUGUGUGUCUCAAGAGCUGUUCAUUUUGUGAGUAAAGGCAGGCCAAAGUGGCGGGGUCUCCUACUCUUUAUCCAGGUAGCUGAGCACAGGUGUGCUCACUCAGCAAUCACCAACCUGGAGAAGAGAUGGAGGAGGCACACACACACACAGCAAAAAGACAAAUCCCUACGUAACGAUAGUGUUCUGGAUAAAGUUUUAGUUCCCAGGUUUUGAAAUACUUGUCUCUUUGGACCUGAUGCCACCUGAUUAUUAGAUGAGUCUAUUGUUGACUGCUCUGGACCUCAACCCAACUCUCUCUGGAGAUGCCGGAAAAUGCUGGGAUGAUGUCAAGUGUUCUGUCCUUCGCCCAUUUGUCUGCAGCAAGAAAAUCUGAUGAUUCCUGGGCUGACACAGAGGCAUCAAGAUUGAAGAGACAAGUGACAUACAGGAGCUGGAUUGUCUCUUAGGCCUAAGAGCAGACUGAACGAGUUAUGAAAAUAAUGCUUUUACCACAACUGUAUUCUGUCUGGAGAGUGAACUGGUCUUUCUUGUCUUUCAAUAUGCAAAAUUAAAACGCUCAAGCAUUGAAA
Long non-coding RNA from Perca fluviatilis (European perch), 611 nucleotides. RefSeq lists it as uncharacterized. The record is from RefSeq and is a predicted model, not a curated record. The transcript has 3 exons. NCBI's taxonomy places the organism in Eukaryota, Metazoa, Chordata, Actinopteri, Perciformes, Percidae.